UUCCAUUGCGCAUGUGCCAAAAAAUCCCCCUCCCUAGUGACCAGACCCCUGCACUGCGGUGAAAAGAGUGCGCAUGUGCUAGCAGGCCCUUUCUCCAAGGCUGCGAGCUGCUCUGAGCCGCUGUUUUUCAGGAACCAAGACCUUUGAUGAUAGCAUGAAGCACAACUUUACAUCAGUCCACCAGAAGCACAUUCAUCUGUGUCCACACAGGACUAGAAACCUCCAAAGUAAAUUCAUUUGUUUAGAAAAUGCAGAAUAAAAAGUUUUCUAUCAAUACAUAGA
Molecule: long non-coding RNA, 282 nt
Organism: Rattus norvegicus (Norway rat)
Lineage: Eukaryota; Metazoa; Chordata; Mammalia; Rodentia; Muridae
Source: RefSeq, a predicted model, not a curated record